RNAcentral lists this long non-coding RNA (594 nucleotides) under Homo sapiens (human). RNAcentral describes it as "non-protein coding lnc-SLC38A8-7:2". Lineage: Eukaryota; Metazoa; Chordata; Mammalia; Primates; Hominidae. The record is from RNAcentral.
UUAGAGAUUUCUUCUUAAAAGCUAAAUUCCGGGCCACGUGUGGUGGCUCACACCUAUAAUCCCAGCACUUUGGGAGGCUGAGGCAAGAAGAUCACUUGAGCCCAGGAGUUUGAGACCAGCCAGACCCAUUUCUGCAAAAAAUAAAAAAUUAGCCGGGCAUGCUGUCAUGUGCCUUCAGUCUCAGCUACUUGGGAGGCUGAGGCAGGAGGAUCACUUGAGCCCAGGAGCUCAAGGCUGCAGUGAGCUAUGAUUGCGCCACUGCACUGGGUGACAAGAGCGUGACUCUGUCUGGAAAAAAAAAAAGGAAUUCCUAAACAGGCUUGUUGACUUCGCAGACUGCUUUUGGCUUCUGGAUGCCCUCCUCCAGUACACAUCGUAUGGGGUGACACCGCCUAGCCUCAGUCACUCUGGGAACCGCCAGCGCCCUCCCAGUGGAGCAGGCUCAGUCACUCCAGAGAGGAUGGAAGGAAACCAUCUUCAUCGGUACUCCAAGGUUCUGGAGGCCCAUUUGGGAGACCCAAAACCUCGGCCUCUACCAGCCUGUCCACGCUUGUCUUGGGCCAAGCCACAGCCUUUAAACGAGACGGCGCCCAG